Tachyglossus aculeatus (Australian echidna) is the source of this 73-nucleotide non-coding RNA. The record is from the annotation of a RefSeq genome assembly. Lineage: Eukaryota; Metazoa; Chordata; Mammalia; Monotremata; Tachyglossidae.
GGCUCUGUAGCUUAGGGGUUAGAGCACUGGUCUUGUAAACCAGGGGUCGUGAGUUUGAAUCUUGCCAGGGCUU